GACGAACGCUGGCGGCGUGCCUAAUACAUGCAAGUAGAACGCUGAAGGAGGAGCUUGCUUCUCUGGAUGAGUUGCGAACGGGUGAGUAACGCGUAGGUAACCUGCCUGGUAGCGGGGGAUAACUAUUGGAAACGAUAGCUAAUACCGCAUAACAGUAGAUAUCGCAUGAUAUCUACUUGAAAGGUGCAAUUGCAUCACUACCAGAUGGACCUGCGUUGUACUAGCUAGUUGGUGAGGUAACGGCACACCAAGGCGACGAUACAUAGCCGACCUGAGAGGGUGAUCGGCCACACUGGGACUGGGACACGGCCCAGACUCCUACGGGAGGGAGCAGUAGGGAAUCUUCGGCAAUGGACGGAAGUCUGACCGAGAAACGCCGCGUGAGUGAAGAAGGUUUUCGGAUCGUAAAGCUCUGUUGUAAGAGAAGAACGAGUGUGAGAGUGGAAAGUUCACACUGUGACGGUAUCUUACCAGAAAGGGACGGCUAACUACGUG
This 495-nucleotide ribosomal RNA is filed under the name uncultured bacterium. Its description in RNAcentral is "partial 16S ribosomal RNA". It matches the Rfam family "Bacterial small subunit ribosomal RNA", at positions 28 to 507 of the family's 1533-position model. The record is from RNAcentral.